RNAcentral lists this unclassified non-coding RNA (167 nucleotides) under soil metagenome. Its description in RNAcentral is "partial contains 5.8S ribosomal RNA, internal transcribed spacer 2, and large subunit ribosomal RNA". The record is from RNAcentral.
AACGGUCUAUACCUGCGGUACCUGCGGAGGGAUCAUUAGUGAACGCCCUCACGGGCUUAUAACUAUUCCAAACCUCUGUGAACCGUGCCCUUCGGGGCUAUUUUACAAACAUGGUGUAAUGAACGUCAUAUAUCAUAACAAAACAAAACUUUUAGCAACGGAUCUCU